RNAcentral lists this ribosomal RNA (497 nucleotides) under uncultured bacterium. Its description in RNAcentral is "partial 16S ribosomal RNA". It matches the Rfam family "Bacterial small subunit ribosomal RNA", at positions 28 to 507 of the family's 1533-position model. The record is from RNAcentral.
GAUGAACGCUGGCGGCGUGCCUAAUACAUGCAAGUCGAGCGAACGGACGAGAAGCUUGCUUUUCUGAUGUUAGCGGCGGACGGGUGAGUAACACGUGGAUAACCUACCUAUAAGACUGGUAUAACUUCGGGAAACCGGAGCUAAUACCGGAUAAUAUUUUGAACCGCAUGGUUCGAAAGUGAAAGACGGUCUUGCUGUCACUUAUAGAUGGAUCCGCGCUGCAUGAGCUAGUUGGUAAGGUAACGGCUUACCAAGGCAACGAUGCAUAGACGACGUGAGAGAGUGGUAGCCCACCCUAGAGGUGAGACGGGCUCAAGGCUACUACGAGAGGCAGCAGAAGGGAAUCUUACGCAGUGGGCGAAAGCAUGACGGAGCAGCGCGGCGUGAGUGAUGGAGGUCUUCGGAUCGGAAAACUCUGUUAUUGGGGAAGAACAUAUGUGUAAGUAGAUGUGCACAUAGUGACGGUACCGAAUAAGAAAGCCCCGGCUAACUACGUG